This 484-nucleotide ribosomal RNA is filed under the name uncultured bacterium. RNAcentral describes it as "partial 16S ribosomal RNA". It matches the Rfam family "Bacterial small subunit ribosomal RNA", at positions 28 to 523 of the family's 1533-position model. The record is from RNAcentral.
GACGAACGCUGGCGGCGUGCUUAACACAUGCAAGUCGAAAGAUGAAGCCGGAGCUUGCUCUGGUGAAUUAGUGGCGAACGGGUGAGUAACACGUGAGUAACCUGCCCUUGACUCUGGGAUAACUGCUAGAAAUGGUAGCUAAUACCGGAUACGACCCUCGGCGGCAUCGCCAGGGGGUGGAAAGAAUUUCGGUCAAGGAUGGACUCGCGGCCUAUCAGCUAGUUGGUGAGGUAACGGCUCACCAAGGCGACGACGGGUAGCCGGCCUGAGAGGGUGACCGGCCACACUGGGACUGAGACACGGCCCAGACUCCUACGGGAGGCAGCAGUGGGGAAUAUUGCACAAUGGGCGCAAGCCUGAUGCAGCAGCGCCGCGUGAGGGAUGACGGCCUUCGGGUUGUAACCCUCUUUUAGUAGGGAAGAAGCGAAAGUGACGGUACCUGCAGAAGAAGCACCGGCCAACUACGUGCCAGCAGCCGCCGUAA